Molecule: long non-coding RNA, 765 nt
Filed under: Felis catus (domestic cat)
Lineage: Eukaryota; Metazoa; Chordata; Mammalia; Carnivora; Felidae
Description: lncRNA (ENSFCAG00000042884.2)
Source: RNAcentral
GUCACGCUCUGAAAUCCGUCCCUAACCUGCUCCAGGUCAUCAUUUUGACAUCACAAGAUCCCCUUGCGCCGCUGCAGUGCAUUUUAACACCUCAUACUAUUAUCCCUGGAAAGGGAAGUUCUACUCAAAUCCCAGGAGUGCUUUAAACUGUACUUCCUAGGUUAAUUAGCCUCCCGCAAAGUUCUUCGCGCUACGUUCCCCACCCCCCCAAGGGGGAGGUCUCUGCAAAGCAAAAACAAAAACAACAAACAAACAAGCCAACAACACAAAAAACAAAAACGUCCUCCAGUGGACCAUCCACCUUGUCUACAGCACAGAGAAAGCACAGCUGUGUCUACAGCACGGAGAAAGCAGAGGUUGCAAGAUUUGGAAAUGGAGGGUGGAAUUUCCUUUCUUUACAGGAGGAAGAUGGAUCAGUGAGGACGUGGUGGGCCGGUGAGCCAUCAUCUCUUCCAGCCAUGGAUUCCUGCGCCACUGGAAACCCUACCACAGAGCAGCUACGGCAGGAAUUAAGAGGACAUCAAAACCUCAAACAAGCUACACUCCUGUGGGUUGGGGAGAAACAAGACACUUAAACAUUCCUGGUAUGGUUUCCUUGGAAACAUUCAUAACAACAACUCAGUAAUACUAUGCGUUUCUGUUUUCUUAACCCUUCAGGCCAUCAAUUGAAUGAAAACUUCCUUGAGGAAAUACUUCAACUGCCUAGGUGGACUGGAAGAAAUUAAACUCAGUGACGGGCGGCCUUCUGACCCCGUGGUGUAGCCC